UCGUAUUUCUCUUCAUUCUUCUUCUUCUCUUUUCUUUUCUUCUCUUUUCUUCUUCUUUCUUUUUCCUGUUCUUCGCCCCGGCAGUUCUGUGAGAGGAUUUUGCAGCAGUGAGAUGGAAAAAUUUAGCAGAGACGUUGAGGAAUAAUGGUUGAUGGUGGCGGUGAUGUUUUUGGACAAGGAAAGUAUAAGAGAUGGGAGAUUUGAGAUAAACAGAUAAGCAAAAUUAGGGUUAUGGAUUCGAUUCUUGAGGUUUUAUGAAAUUGAUGAAAAUACAGAGUUGUGGUUAGAUGUAAAACAAGGGUUUUUGUUUAAUUGAAGUUUUGAAGUUAAUACGGUGGUGAGUUGGAGAAAUUGAAUUAGGGUUUGGUUGUGUUCUUGAUAAAGUAAUGAAGAUGAUUAUGAAACUGAAAUCGAUAGAUGAAGAGUAAAUUUAGGUUUACUUGGUGGUGGUUUUAGUUUAAGCGGCUGAUUCAGAUACUCAGAAGAAAAGGUAAAGUAGGGUUUUCCUGUGAAUGAUUAAGAAGAGGAAUUAGAGUUCGAUUCUCAAAUCGUAGUGAAGAAUUGGGUUUGUGAAAUUAGGAUUGGAAUUGAAUUGGGGAAAUAGUUAUUCAGAGGACACUGAUGCUUGGAUGGAUUUUAAGUUAGUCUGGUUGUGUGUAUAUGGGGUGUAGGUAUUAUGAGUUAAUCUAAGUGGAGGAGAUAUUGUAUAUGAUAUUGUUUUGGAGAAGAACAGAGUCUAGAUGAAUGAGUGAUUACAGGACAUGAGAUUGGAUAACUAGGGAUAAUGAAUUGGAGCUGUUGGAAAUGCUGUGAUGUUGGUGGUGGUGAAUUUGAGAGUCCCAGACAAUAAUGGGAGUUACUGAGAUGGAGAAGAUGUGUUGAAUGGCAUAUAGAAUGUGUUUGAAAUGAAAUUGUUGAUGAAGAUGAAAUGGUUAAGCUUUGGAAUUAAUGAUGUCACAGGCUGUUGGAGAUUGAGUUAGUAAUGGUGCUGGUUUUGUAGUUGUUGAGUGUUGAAGCAUUAAACUGGAAUGCAAGUCUGAAGCUAAGAUUGUUACAGGAAUGAAGGCAGUAUGUGCAAGAUAUGGAUUUGAAUAGUUGCAAUCGAAGGUUGAGUUGGUAUUGCAGCUAUGGGAGUUAUAUGAAUGGAUGUCUGCAAUGGAUAGUUGUUAAGGAUUUGCAGUUGUAGUUAAAUGUUUUGAGUUGCAAGUAAUCUGAAAUUGAUAGUAAUUAUAGAAUUGCAAUUAGUGUUGCUGUGAAAAGCUUAAAGCUGCAGUUGCAUGUAAUUAGAGUUUAUAAUUGUAAUUAAAAUUUGAAGUAUUGGAAUUGAUGCUUUAUUAGAUUGAAGUUGAACUUGA
Long non-coding RNA from Papaver somniferum (opium poppy), 1355 nucleotides. RefSeq lists it as uncharacterized. NCBI's taxonomy places the organism in Eukaryota, Viridiplantae, Streptophyta, Magnoliopsida, Ranunculales, Papaveraceae. The transcript is spliced from 2 exons. The record is from RefSeq and is a predicted model, not a curated record.